Hydra vulgaris (swiftwater hydra) is the source of this 750-nucleotide RNA transcript. It is a transcript of the gene named 46 kDa FK506-binding nuclear protein, with no coding region annotated. The record is from RefSeq and is a predicted model, not a curated record. Lineage: Eukaryota; Metazoa; Cnidaria; Hydrozoa; Anthoathecata; Hydridae.
CUUAUGGUGUCCGCGUUAUAGUCCGCAGAGAUAAAAUAUCCGAAUUUUUUAAUAAUAGUAUAACUACUUGGUCUUCAAUAACAUAAUGCAAUCGCCUAAUUCUGGUUCUUAUUUUUGCAUAGUUUGGCUACAUCAACUUAAAUAAUAAUGUUUUGGGGGAUUAUAUUGGAAGCUGGUAAACAGUACACACAGGUUGUUGAGCAUUCCUUUCAUGUUUCCAUGGCUACUCUAGGAAUUGAUUCUGAUUCUGAAGAACCUGUGUCUGUUUGUCUAGAGCAAAAUGCUAAAAUAUUUAUUUUAUGUACACUUAAAUCUGGCCAUUGCUAUCAGCAAUCUUUAAAUUUGAAUUUCACAGUAGGAGAAAAGGUGACUUUUUCCAUUGAGGGAAACAGAGAAGUGCAUUUAUCAGGUUUUCAUUGAUUUUUCUCAGGAUAUGUACAUCCUGAGUCAAGCGAAGACGAAGUUUCUACAGAUGAUGACUGUGAUGAUGCAAAUACAGAGUUACCAAAUACUGUAUUAACACCAGAUCGUAAUUUAUUAACAGGAAGUAACAUGGAUAGUAAUCCUGUUGUAAAUGCUUCACCUAUGGGCAGUUUGUCAUUCAAUAAUUUAAUAUGUAAUACAUCUGUUGAUAACUCCAGUGAGGGGAAGACUUCUAGCAAGAAAUUUGAAAAACAAUACACUGAACAUAGCAAAAAAAGAAAAUAUGUUAAAAUUUAAUUUGAGAUUUAAAUAAAAUAUUGUUUCGAA